GGAUCGGGAGGCUUCCGGUGGGACGGAAGCCAGGAAUAGACCGGAACUUAUCCGCUCUCAGACGGGCGCUGUGCCGCAGCCCAACGGCAUGGAC
Molecule: non-coding RNA, 94 nt
Filed under: unclassified sequences
Description: Rhodo-rpoB RNA
Rfam family: Rhodo-rpoB RNA
Source: RNAcentral